AUGAUGGUUAAUUAUAUAUUUUAUAUUAUAAUAAUGCAGAUGAAUCGGCAAUGGAUGUACGGUAACCGACUCUCCCGCGAGUUCACUACGGGUUUGAAAGAUUUCCUCGUAGUGGCUAAUGCGAACAAGCAGAAGGGUUUUGUUAUCUGUCCAUGUGUUGACUGUAAGAAUCAGAAGGGUUACUCUUCCUCAAGAGAAGUUCACCUGCACCUGCUUCGGCACGGUUUCAUGCCAAGCUAUAAUUGUUGGACCAAGCAUGGAGAAAGAGGGGUUAUAAUGGAAGAAGAUGAAGAAGGGGAUGAUUUCAUCGAUGAAAUCUAUCUUGCUCAUUUCGGUGAUACUUUCAUGGAGGAUGCUGAAGGUGAAGGGGAAGGUGAAGGGGAAGGUGAAGGUGAAGAAGAGGCACGUGAUGAGACCGUUGAUGAUCUUGGUCGGACCAUUGCUGAUGCACGGAGACGCUGCGAAACUGAAAAGGAGAGGGAGAAUUUGGAUCGCAUGUUAGAGGAUCACAGAAAGUCGUUGUACCCCGGAUGCGAUGAUGGUCUGAAAAAGCUGGGCUGCACACUGGAUUUGCUGAAAUGGAAGGCACAGGCAGGUGUAGCUGACUCGGCAUUUGAAAACUUGCUGAAAAUGUUGAAGAAUAUGUUUCCAAAGAAUAACGAGUUGCCCGCCAGUACGUACGAAGCAAAGAAGGUUGUCUGCCCUCUAGGUUUAGAGGUUCUGAAGAUACAUGCAUGCAUCAACGACUGCAUCCUCUACCGCGAUGAAUACGAGAAUUUGAAUGAAUGCCCGGUAUGCACUGCAUUGCGUUAUAAGAUCAGAGGCGAUGACCCUGGUGACGAUGUUGAGGGCGAGAAACCCAGGAAGAGGGUUCCCGCCAAGGUGAUGUGGUAUGCUCCUAUAAUACCACGGUUGAAACGUCUGUUCAGGAACAAAGAGCAUGCCAAGUUGUUGCGAUGGCACAAAGAGGACCGUAAGUCGGACGGGGAGUUGAGACACACCGCAGAUGGAAUGUAA
This 1017-nucleotide ribosomal RNA is filed under the name Triticum aestivum (bread wheat). RNAcentral describes it as "partial small subunit ribosomal RNA". The record is from RNAcentral. Lineage: Eukaryota; Viridiplantae; Streptophyta; Magnoliopsida; Poales; Poaceae.